Lagopus muta (rock ptarmigan) is the source of this 857-nucleotide long non-coding RNA. RefSeq lists it as uncharacterized. The transcript is spliced from 3 exons. The record is from RefSeq and is a predicted model, not a curated record. Lineage: Eukaryota; Metazoa; Chordata; Aves; Galliformes; Phasianidae.
UGUUUCUCCUUCUCAGUUAAUUUGGUUAUUAGAGAGGCUGUAGCAGAUGUUAAACCUCUGAGAAGAGCGAUCUGAGGGGGCAGAGAGGUUUUUGUGGAGGAAUCUGAGUGCCCUUACCUGUGCGGUGUGGUUCUGGGAAGGUGAUGAGCUCAAACCUGGGCCUUGUAAAACUCAGGCCUCACUUAACUGCGAAGAUAAGAUCUGGUGGUUGUGCAUGAAGUUGGGCUGCUGGUCUCAGAGGAAUGUGGUGUGUGGAUCCAGCAGUAUGCAGGCAGGGCAGGGCUCCUGCCUGGGGCUGAUGGCUAUUCCCACGUGGGACAUCUUGAUUUGGUGUCAGGGGACCUGCAGCCGACUGAUGCUCUCAAGGUGCUGCUGCUCAGAAAUGAGUCCUUGUUCAUCCUCUUUGUCAAACUGCUGAAUUUGAUGUGGGGCGUAUGAAGCUUGUUUCUAGUACCUGGUUCAUUUUUAGCUCUGGUGAUGCUUCAAUAUUGCUGUCUCCUUUCUGAAAGUAGAGUUGGACCCCGAUAUCUAAUGAGUUAUCCUAGCAAUUUUUUUCAUAGAUGAGAUAAUUUCCUGUUUUCUAUUUGGAGUUUUUUUUCUAGCUCUCAACUCCAGACACUUUCAGCAUCUUUAUGCUAUAGCAUUCAACAUAGAUGGAGAUUAAACUCUUAAUCCUUCUAGUUCAACUGUUUUGAGACAGUUUUACAUUCUACAAAAGUAGUUGUGUUCCCUGACUUCUGUUGUAUGUGUAUUUAUGUUGCUUUAAAUAGACAGUAAUGGGCUGCUCUGAGUAAGCAUCUCGUCCUCUUCCAUCACUUUCUGUCACAAUAAUUAUUUGCAUUGUCUAUAGAUUUUAU